GAUGAACGCUGGCGGCGUGCCUAACACAUGCAAGUCGAACGCUCGCAAGAGAGUGGCGCACGGGUGAGUAACACGUAGCUAAUCUGCCCUCAAGACAAGGAUAACCGUAGGAAACUACUGCUAAUACUUGAUAAGCUUACGGACUGUAGAGGUCUAUAAGAAAGAUUUAUCGCUUGAGGAUGAGGCUGCGCGCCAUCAGCUAGUUGGUAAGGUAAUGGCUUACCAAGGCGACGACGGCUAGGGGACCUGAGAGGGUGACCCCCCACACUGGGACUGAGACACGGCCCAGACUCCUACGGGAGGCAGCAGUGAGGAAUAUUGCUCAAUGGGCGCAAGCCUGAUCCAGCAAUGCCGCGUGAGUGAAGAAGGCCUUCGGUUGUAAAGCUCUUUGUUCUAGGGAAGAAACGGUAGGAAGGGGACGUAAGUUAAU
Molecule: ribosomal RNA, 430 nt
Filed under: uncultured bacterium
Lineage: Bacteria
Description: bacterial SSU rRNA
Rfam family: Bacterial small subunit ribosomal RNA
Source: RNAcentral